Ostrea edulis (European flat oyster) is the source of this 713-nucleotide long non-coding RNA. RefSeq lists it as uncharacterized. Lineage: Eukaryota; Metazoa; Mollusca; Bivalvia; Ostreida; Ostreidae. The transcript has 3 exons. The record is from RefSeq and is a predicted model, not a curated record.
CUUUAUAUUUCAAAACUCAUCUUUUAAUAGAUAUAAAACUGUUAUUAUGCUAUGUAAUUGCAUGUUCUCGUUCUGUAGAUAGGAAUGUUUAUUUGUAGGUUUAUUUUGUUAAACAAGCUGCUGUCUUUUGAAAAAGGAAUGCAAUACGAGGGCAGUAGGCACGUGUUUCUAACAGAAACUUAACAUUAGUGCCAGUGCCCGUAUGACUGUAUCAGAAAUCUGAAUCAAUGUUUGGUCGCCGGAGCAUGCCGAGUGUGUAAAACUCCAAAUUACGGCAAACGAGGAUUACAAGCUGCAGCUAGCAGAUUAAGGGCGCUUCUGGCAGAAGAGGGCUGACAUCCGUACUAGCGGAGAUCCGAAGAGACAAUCUUUAAACUAUAUUUUAAAGUGGCGGAAUAUUUGUUAAUCUUUAUACAUUUGUAUUUGUUUGAAAUGGCAUUUAGCAUAUUGACAACUUUUACAUUGUACGAAUCAUUUCCCAAUAUUUGUUACUGACAUUAAAAACGAAAAAAAUAUAUCACUAUUUUCAAAUAAAUGCAGCACUUACUCCUCCAUAAAUACAACUGAUUUAAAUGUUAUUGAAUAAAUGAACCAUUCCUAUUAAAAAAAACAAAACUUGUAAUAUUCAACUCUGUUUUAAAACGUCAUAAUGACAAAAAGUUAUGCAUUUGUUUUUGCUUACUUGUAAAGAAAAACGUCAUCAUGACCAAUCA